This 253-nucleotide ribosomal RNA is filed under the name uncultured bacterium. Its description in RNAcentral is "partial 16S ribosomal RNA". It matches the Rfam family "Bacterial small subunit ribosomal RNA", at positions 527 to 779 of the family's 1533-position model. The record is from RNAcentral.
CGAAGGGGCUAGCGUUGCUCGGAAUCACUGGGCGUAAAGGGCGCGUAGGCGGCCGAUCAAGUCAGGGGUGAAAGCCUGUGGCUCAACCACAGAAUUGCCUUUGAUACUGUUUGGCUCGAGACCGGAAGAGGUUGGUGGAACUGCGAGUGUAGAGGUGAAAUUCGUAGAUAUUCGCAAGAACACCAGUGGCGAAGGCGGCCAACUGGUCCGGUUCUGACGCUGAGGCGCGAAAGCGUGGGGAGCAAACAGGAUU